CAGGUGCUGCAUGGUUGUCGUCAGCUCGUGUCGUGAGAUGUAAGGUUUAAGUACCUUGAACGAGCGCAACCCCUUUCGUCAGUUGCAAACCAGCAAUGGCGCACCCUGACGAUACUGCCAGCUAAAGUUGGAGGAAGGAGGGGAUGACGUCAAAUCCUCAUGGCCUUUAUGUCCAGGGCUACACACAUGCGACAAUGGUCGGUACAACGGGUUGCAACACCGCGAGGUGAAGCCAAUCCCUAAAAACCGGCCUCAGUUCAGAUUGCAGACUGCAAUUCGUCUACAUGAAGAUGGAGUUGCUAGUAACCGCGGGUCAGCUACACCGCGGUGAAUACGUUCCCGGGGAUU
Molecule: ribosomal RNA, 348 nt
Filed under: uncultured Caldisericum sp.
Lineage: Bacteria; Pseudomonadati; Caldisericota; Caldisericia; Caldisericales; Caldisericaceae
Description: bacterial SSU rRNA
Rfam family: Bacterial small subunit ribosomal RNA
Source: RNAcentral